GACGAACGCUGGCGGCGUGCUUAACACAUGCAAGUCGAACGGACAGGCCCUGCUUUUGUGGUGUGCUCGAGUGGCGAACGGGUGAGUAACACGUGAGUAACCUGCCCUUGUCUUUGGGAUAACUUCAGGAAACUGGGGCUAUUAUCGGAUAUGAUCUCCUGCUGCAUGGUGGGGGUUGGAAAGUUUCGGCGGUUGGGGAUGGUCUCGCGGCUUACCAGCUUGUUUGUCGGGUAGUUGCUUACCAAGGCUUUGACGGAUAGCCGGCCUGAGAGGGUGGCCGGGCACAUUAGGACUGAGAUACGGCCCAGAAGCCUACGGGAGGCAACAGUGGGGAAUAUUACACAAUGGGCGGGAGCCUGAUGCAGCAACGCCGCGUGCGGGAUGACGGCCUUCGGGUUGUAAACCGAUUUCGCAUGUGACGAAGCGUGAGUGACGGUAAUGAGUAAAGAAGCACCGGCUAACUACGUG
RNAcentral lists this ribosomal RNA (468 nucleotides) under uncultured bacterium. RNAcentral's name for it is "partial 16S ribosomal RNA". It matches the Rfam family "Bacterial small subunit ribosomal RNA", at positions 28 to 507 of the family's 1533-position model. The record is from RNAcentral.